GAGGCUUUAUCUUAAUUAAAGUGUCUGGGUUGCAUUCAGAUGAUGGACAUUAGAGUUGUUCAAGUCUUA
This 69-nucleotide transfer RNA is filed under the name Hemitheconyx taylori. Its description in RNAcentral is "tRNA-Ala". Lineage: Eukaryota; Metazoa; Chordata; Lepidosauria; Squamata; Eublepharidae. The record is from RNAcentral.